UCCUCCUUAAAAUAUCAUGCAAAUAAAUGCAGUCUGCCAAGAGGUUAACUAUUUUGCAUGGUUCCUUAACACAACAAGCAAAUCCUUUUUAAUCUUUCCACCAUCAAGCUAGUUCAACUAUGUUGUAUGGUGCCAUAAGAUGGUGAUGAAAAUGUGUGUACACAUCCUAAAAGUCUAUAUAUGUUUCACAGAAAGAUAUUUCCUCUUGUUUUGCCAAAGAUAUUCCCCGCUAUACGUACUCUAGUUUCGUGACGCUUUUGUUCUCGUACAGUACAUUCUUAACCUUUUAAAGAAAAUCUUAAUUGUCAAUGGUCAUUGUGCUUUAGUUUCUGAGAUAAGUUACCUGUAAGAUUUUAUUCAUAUUUUGUCCCAUUUAAAUGCUAAUUAAUUGUGAACUCAAACAG
RNAcentral lists this long non-coding RNA (404 nucleotides) under Solanum tuberosum (potato). RNAcentral's name for it is "long non-coding RNA (STUB_LNC002363)". Lineage: Eukaryota; Viridiplantae; Streptophyta; Magnoliopsida; Solanales; Solanaceae. The record is from RNAcentral.